This 755-nucleotide long non-coding RNA is filed under the name Homo sapiens (human). Its description in RNAcentral is "non-protein coding lnc-ZBED9-2:2". The record is from RNAcentral. Lineage: Eukaryota; Metazoa; Chordata; Mammalia; Primates; Hominidae.
GAAGGUCAGCGCAGUCCCGGAUGAGGACGAGUAGAACGGUAACGGCCAUGGGGCGGUUGGCCUUCCUUCUACCAGACCUUGAUGUGGGAAGAGAGAAAUGGAGUAACAAGCCACAUUUGGCGCUUUGGAGAUGCCCACCACGCUUUGGGAAGAUGUACCAGCGUUUAUAGAAGGCCCGAGUGUAUAAGAGAUUUCUAAAAGAGAUGUUCUGAUUAUUCAAAGACUCUCUACUCAGAAAUGCCAAAAUGUGAGAAAUCAACAUGAGGACCACAGCAGAAGGAAACAGAGAAUGGAGAAGGGAACCAGGCAGCAAUUCAACAAAUAUUCCUUGGGCAUCUCUGCGCUACCAGAGGUCGCUGCGGUGAGCACCACGGGUCUGAGUGCCAGCGAUGGUUUAUCACGGUGACAGGAAAACACAGACCAGCAGCAUCUACUCCAGCACUACUCACACUGUGGAACUCUUUUCACCGUGAUGCCAGAUAACUAGGUCUCACAGGGCACAUAUGGGCAGGAAGUUUCUAUGGAAGAAAUGAUCCCUCUGGAUUCUGCAAAGGAGUCUUUAGGCACCCAGCUUCAGUCUAUGGAAGAUAGAAUGGAAUGUGAAUCUCCAGAGCCACACCCACUUCAAGAUAAUGGGUCAUUUUUGUGGUUUUCCAUGAUGUCUCAAAGCAUGGGUGGUGAUAACCUCAGUAGCUUAGAUACUAAUGAAGCAGAAAUUGAACCAGAAAACAUGAGAGAAAAGUUCUUCAGAAGCU